RNAcentral lists this ribosomal RNA (82 nucleotides) under Acinetobacter baumannii. Its description in RNAcentral is "partial 16S ribosomal RNA". It matches the Rfam family "Bacterial small subunit ribosomal RNA", at positions 1 to 80 of the family's 1533-position model. The record is from RNAcentral. Lineage: Bacteria; Pseudomonadati; Pseudomonadota; Gammaproteobacteria; Moraxellales; Moraxellaceae.
UUAAAUUGAAGAGUUUGAUCAUGGCUCAGAUUGAACGCUGGCGGCAGGCUUAACACAUGCAAGUCGAGCGGUAGCACAGAGA